This 1460-nucleotide ribosomal RNA is filed under the name uncultured marine eukaryote. Its description in RNAcentral is "bacterial SSU rRNA". It matches the Rfam family "Bacterial small subunit ribosomal RNA". The record is from RNAcentral.
GAGUUUGAUCAUGGCUCAGGAUGAACGCUAGCGGUAUGCUUAACACAUGCAAGUCGAACGGAGUUUCUAAUAUUGACUUUCGGGAAUUUAUUUUAAACUUAGUGGCGAACGGGUGAAUAACACGUAAGAACCUACCUUUAAGAAGGGGAUAACAGUUAGAAAUGACUGCUAAUACCCUAUAUACCUACGGGUAAAAGAUUUAUCGCUUAAAGCAGGGCUUGCGUCUGAUUAGCUAGUUGGUUGGGUAAAGGCUAACCAAGGCAACGAUCAGUAGCUGGCUUGAGAGGGCGACCAGCCACACUGGGACUGAGACACGGCCCAGACUUCUACGGAAGGCAGCAGUGAGGAAUUUUCCGCAAUGGGCGAAAGCCUGACGGAGCAAUACCGCGUGGAGGAUGAAGGUUCAUGGAUUGUAAACUCCUUUUCUUAGAAAAGAAAUCAAUGACGGUAUCUAAGGAAUAAGCAUCUGCUAACUCCGUGCCAGCAGCCGCGGUAAGACGGGGGAUGCAAGCGUUAUUCGGAAUUAUUGGGCGUAAAGCGUCUGUAGGUGGCUAAAUAAGUCUGGUGUUAAAUACUGAAGCUCAACUUCAGACCUGCAUCAGAAACUAUUUAGCUUGAGUACGUUAGAGGCAGGGGGAAUUCCCAGUGUAGCGGUGAAAUGCGUAGAUAUUUGGGGAGGAACACCAACAGCGAGGGCACCCUGCUGGGCCGAUACUGACACUCAAGGACGAAAGCUAGGGGAGCGAAUGGGAUUAGAUACCCCAGUAGUCCUAGCUGUCAACGAUGGAGGCUAAACGUUGUCCAUUUGGCCAGCGUUGAAGUUAACGCGUUAAGCCUCCCGCCUGGGGAGUACGCUCGCAAGGGUGAAACUCAAAGGAAUUGACGGGGACCCGCACAAGCGGUGGAGCAUGUGGUUUAAUUCGAUGCAACGCGAAGAACCUUACCAGGGCUUGACAUGCCGCGAAUCGCUAUGAAAAUAGUGGAGCCGAAAGGCGCGGUCACAGGUGGUGCAUGGCUGUCGUCAGCUCGUGUCGUGAGAUGUUGGGUUAAGUUCCGCAACGAGCGCAACCCUUAUCCCCAGUUACCUUUUUAGGAACCUGUGGAGACUGCCGGUGUUAAGCCGGAGGAAGGUGAGGACGACGUCAAGUCAUCAUGCCCCUUACGCCCUGGGCUACUCACGUGCUACAAUGGCUAGGACAAUGGGAUGCCACCCUGCGAAGGCGAGCUAACCCCAAAAACCUAGUCUUAGUUCGGAUUGUAGGCUGCAACUCGCCUACAUGAAGCCGGAAUCGCUAGUAAUCGCUGGUCAGCAAUACAGCGGUGAAUACGUUCUCGGGUCUUGUACACACCGCCCGUCACACCAUGGAAAUUGGCUAUGCCCAAAAUCGUCACCCUAACCUUUUGGAUGGGAGCGCUUAAGGUAGAGCUAGUAACUAGGGUGAAGUCGUAACAAGGUAACC